Molecule: ribosomal RNA, 468 nt
Filed under: uncultured bacterium
Lineage: Bacteria
Description: partial 16S ribosomal RNA
Rfam family: Bacterial small subunit ribosomal RNA
Source: RNAcentral
GACGAACGCUGGCGGCGUGCUUAACACAUGCAAGUCGAACGGAAAGGCCCUGCUUUUGUGGGGUGCUCGAGUGGCGAACGGGUGAGUAACACGUGAGUAACCUGCCCUUGACUUUGGGAUAACUUCAGGAAACUGGGGCUAAUACCGGAUAGGAGCUCCUGCUGCAUGGUGGGGGUUGGAAAGUUUCGGCGGUUGGGGAUGGACUCGCGGCUUAUCAGCUUGUUGGUGGGGUAGUGGCUUACCAAGGCUUUGACGGGUAGCCGGCCUGAGAGGGUGACCGGCCAAAUUGGGAAUGAGAUACGGCCCAGACUCCUACGGGAGGCAGCAGGGGGGAAUAUUGCACAAUGGGCGGAAGCCUGAUGCAGCAACGCCGCGUGCGGGAUGACGGCCUUCGGGUUGUAAACCGCUUUCGCCUGUGACGAAGCGUGAGUGACGGUAAUGGGUAAAGAAGAACCGGCUAACUACGUG